GCCGAAGUGGUGGAACUGGCAUACACGCACGACUCAAAAUCGUGUGCUCGCAAGGGCAUGAGGGUUCAACUCCCUCCUUCGGCACCA
RNAcentral lists this transfer RNA (87 nucleotides) under Candidatus Azambacteria bacterium RIFCSPHIGHO2_01_FULL_51_74. RNAcentral's name for it is "tRNA-Leu". It matches the Rfam family "tRNA". Rfam says of the family: Transfer RNA (tRNA) molecules are approximately 80 nucleotides in length. Their secondary structure includes four short double-helical elements and three loops (D, anti-codon, and T loops). Further hydrogen bonds mediate the characteristic L-shaped molecular structure. tRNAs have two regions of fundamental functional importance: the anti-codon, which is responsible for specific mRNA codon recognition, and the 3' end, to which the tRNAs corresponding amino acid is attached (by aminoacyl-tRNA synthetases). tRNAs cope with the degeneracy of the genetic code in two manners: having more than one tRNA (with a specific anti-codon) for a particular amino acid; and 'wobble' base-pairing, i.e. permitting non-standard base-pairing at the 3rd anti-codon position. Lineage: Bacteria; Candidatus Azamiibacteriota. RNAcentral also lists the same sequence under 2 other names. The record is from RNAcentral.